This 252-nucleotide ribosomal RNA is filed under the name uncultured bacterium. RNAcentral describes it as "partial 16S ribosomal RNA". It matches the Rfam family "Bacterial small subunit ribosomal RNA", at positions 524 to 775 of the family's 1533-position model. The record is from RNAcentral.
UACAGAGGUCUCAAGCGUUGUUCGGAUUCAUUGGGCGUAAAGGGUGCGUAGGUGGCGCGCUAAGUCGGGUGUGAAAUCUCGGAGCUUAACUCCGAAAUUGCAUUCGAUACUGGCGUGCUUGAGGACUGGAGAGGAGACUGGAAUUCAUGGUGUAGCAGUGAAAUGCGCAGAUAUCAGGAGGAACACCCGUGGCGAAAGCGGCUCUCUGGGACGGUACUGACGCUGAGACGCGAAAGCGUGGGGAGCAAACAG